GCUUUCCCUCCAGAGUGGAUCCUGAGUACGGCGGAACACGUGAAAUUCCGUCGGAAUCCGGGAGGACCAUCUCCCAAGGCUAAAUACUCCCUAGUGACCGAUAGUGAACCAGUACCGUGAGGGAAAGGUGAAAAGCACCCCGGAAGGGGAGUGAAACAGUUCCUGAAACCGUGUGCCUACAAGUAGUUAGAGCCCGUUAAUGGGUGAUAGCGUGCCUUUUGUAGAAUGAACCGGCGAGUUACGAUUUGUUGCAAGGUUAAGCGGAAAAAGCGGAGCCGUAGCGAAAGCGAGUCUGAAUAGGGCGCAUAAGUAACAGGUCGUAGACCCGAAACCAGGUGAUCUACCCAUGUCCAGGAUGAAGGUAAGGUAAUACUUACUGGAGGUCCGAACCCACGCACGUUGAAAAGUGCGGGGAUGAGGUGUGGGUAGCGGAGAAAUUCCAAUCGAACUUGGAGAUAGCUGGUUCUCUCCGAAAUAGCUUUAGGGCUAGCCUCGAGGUAAAGAGUCAUGGAGGUAGAGCACUGUUUGGACUAGGGGCCCUUCUCGGGUUACCGAAUUCAGAUAAACUCCGAAUGCCAUGUACUUAUACUCGGGAGUCAGACUGCGAGUGAUAAGAUCCGUAGUCGAAAGGGAAACAGCCCAGACCACCAGUUAAGGUCCCCAAAUAUAUGUUAAGUGGAAAAGGAUGUGGGGUUGCUUAGACAACCAGGAUGUUGGCUUAGAAGCAGCCACCAUUGAAAGAGUGCGUAAUAGCUCACUGGUCGAGUGACCCCGCGCCGAAAAUGUACCGGGGCUAAACAUAUUACCGAAACUGUGGAUGAACCUCUUUAGAGGUUCGUGGUAGGAGAGCGUUCUAAGGGCGGUGAAGUCAGACCGGAAGGACUGGUGGAGCGCUUAGAAGUGAGAAUGCCGGUAUGAGUAGCGAAAGAAGGGUGAGAAUCCCUUCCACCGAAUAUCUAAGGUUUCCUGAGGAAGGC
RNAcentral lists this ribosomal RNA (977 nucleotides) under Listeria monocytogenes. RNAcentral describes it as "bacterial LSU rRNA". It matches the Rfam family "Bacterial large subunit ribosomal RNA", at positions 387 to 1365 of the family's 2925-position model. The record is from RNAcentral. Lineage: Bacteria; Bacillati; Bacillota; Bacilli; Caryophanales; Listeriaceae.